UGCAAGUCGAGCGAACUGAUUAGAAGCUUGCUUCUAUGACGUUAGCGGCGGACGGGUGAGUAACACGUGGGCAACCUGCCUGUAAGACUGGGAUAACUUCGGGAAACCGAAGCUAAUACCGGAUAGGAUCUUCUCCUUCAUGGGAGAUGAUUGAAAGAUGGUUUCGGCUAUCACUUACAGAUGGGCCCGCGGUGCAUUAGCUAGUUGGUGAGGUAACGGCUCACCAAGGCAACGAUGCAUAGCCGACCUGAGAGGGUGAUCGGCCACACUGGGACUGAGACACGGCCCAGACUCCUACGGGAGGCAGCAGUAGGGAAUCUUCCGCAAUGGACGAAAGUCUGACGGAGCAACGCCGCGUGAGUGAUGAAGGCUUUCGGGUCGUAAAACUCUGUUGUUAGGGAAGAACAAGUACGAGAGUAACUGCUCGUACCUUGACGGUACCUAACCAGAAAGCCACGGCUAACUACGUGCCAGCAGCCGCGGUAAUACGUAGGUGGCAAGCGUUAUCCGGAAUUAUUGGGCGUAAAGCGCGCGCAGGCGGUUUCUUAAGUCUGAUGUGAAAGCCCACGGCUCAACCGUGGAGGGUCAUUGGAAACUGGGGAACUUGAGUGCAGAAGAGAAAAGCGGAAUUCCACGUGUAGCGGUGAAAUGCGUAGAGAUGUGGAGGAACACCAGUGGCGAAGGCGGCUUUUUGGUCUGUAACUGACGCUGAGGCGCGAAAGCGUGGGGAG
This 731-nucleotide ribosomal RNA is filed under the name Priestia megaterium. RNAcentral's name for it is "bacterial SSU rRNA". It matches the Rfam family "Bacterial small subunit ribosomal RNA", at positions 56 to 768 of the family's 1533-position model. Lineage: Bacteria; Bacillati; Bacillota; Bacilli; Caryophanales; Bacillaceae. The record is from RNAcentral. RNAcentral also lists the same sequence under 1 other name.